Molecule: ribosomal RNA, 885 nt
Filed under: Pectobacterium carotovorum subsp. carotovorum
Lineage: Bacteria; Pseudomonadati; Pseudomonadota; Gammaproteobacteria; Enterobacterales; Pectobacteriaceae
Description: bacterial SSU rRNA
Rfam family: Bacterial small subunit ribosomal RNA
Source: RNAcentral
UCGGUGAGCUGUCUUAUGGGUGGAGGGUGACGGGUGAGGAAUACAUCGAUCUACCGGGGGGAUAACGUAGGACUACGCUAAUACCGCUACGACCUACGGGUGAAAGCGGGGACUUCGACCUUGCGAUUGAAUGAAUGUCNGAUUUUGGCGGGGUAGGCCCACCAAGGCGACGAUCCGUAGCUGGUCUGAGAGGAUGAUCAGCCACACUGGAACUGAGACACGGUCCAGACUCCUACGGGAGGCAGCAGUGGGGAAUAUUGGACAAUGGGCGCAAGCCUGAUCCAGCCAUACCGCGUGGGUGAAGAAGGCCUUCGGGUUGUAAAGCCCUUUUGUUGGGAAAGAAAUCCAGCCGGCUAAUACCUGGUUGGGAUGACGGUACCCAAAGAAUAAGCACCGGCUAACUUCGUGCCAGCAGCCGCGGUAAUACGAAGGGUGCAAGCGUUACUCGGAAUUACUGGGCGUAAAGCGUGCGUAGGUGGUUGUUUAAGUCUGUUGUGAAAGCCCUGGGCUCAACCUGGGAACUGCAGUGGAAACUGGACAACUAGAGUGUGGUAGAGGGUAGCGGAAUUCCCGGUGUAGCAGUGAAAUGCGUANAGAUCGGGAGGAACAUCCAUGGCGAANGCAGCUACCUGGACCAACACUGACACUGAGGCACGAAAGCGUGGGGAGCAAACAGGAUUAGAUACCUGGUAGUCCACCCCUACGAUGCGACUGUGUUGGGUGCAAUUUGGCACGCAUAUCAACUAACGCGUAAGUCGCCCCUGGGGAGACGGCGCAGAUGAAACUCAAAGGAAUUGAGGGGGCCCCAAGCGGAGUAUGUGUUUAUUCAUGCAAAAACCUUACGCAAGAACUUUUUGGAUGGCUCGGAAAAGCUGUCGCGAGGUA